Molecule: ribosomal RNA, 200 nt
Filed under: uncultured eukaryote
Lineage: Eukaryota
Description: partial 18S ribosomal RNA
Rfam family: Eukaryotic small subunit ribosomal RNA
Source: RNAcentral
GCUCCAAUAGCGUAUAUUAAAGUUGUUGCAGUUAAAAAGCUCGUAGUUGGAUCUGCGGUUAGGGCUUGCGGUCCACCACGCGGUGGUACUGCUCGUCCGACCUACAUCGAAUUGACCGCGUUGCUCUUCACUGAGUGACCGGGAAGGCUCGAACGUUUACUUUGAAAAAAUUAGAGUGUUCAUAGCAGGCAGUCCGCCUG